RNAcentral lists this ribosomal RNA (497 nucleotides) under uncultured bacterium. RNAcentral's name for it is "partial 16S ribosomal RNA". It matches the Rfam family "Bacterial small subunit ribosomal RNA", at positions 28 to 523 of the family's 1533-position model. The record is from RNAcentral.
GAUGAACGCUGGCGGCGUGCUUAACACAUGCAAGUCGAACGAAGCGCUUUUAUUUGAUUUCUUUGGAAUGAAGAUUUUAGUGACUGAGUGGCGGACGGGUGAGUAACGCGUGGGUAACCUGCCUCAUACAGGGGGAUAACAGUUAGAACUGACUGCUAAUACCGCAUAAGACCACAGUACCGCAUGGUACAGGGGUAAAAACUCCGGUGGUAUGAGAUGGACCCGCGUCUGAUUAGGUAGUUGGUGGGGUAACGGCCUACCAAGCCGACGAUCAGUAGCCGACCUGAGAGGGUGACCGGCCACAUUGGGACUGAGACACGGCCCAAACUCCUACGGGAGGCAGCAGUGGGGAAUAUUGCACAAUGGGGGAAACCCUGAUGCAGCGACGCCGCGUGAGCGAUGAAGUAUUUCGGUAUGUAAAGCUCUAUCAGCAGGGAAGAAAAUGACGGUACCUGACUAAGAAGCACCGGCUAAAUACGUGCCAGCCGCCGCUGUAA